This 2925-nucleotide ribosomal RNA is filed under the name Escherichia coli. RNAcentral describes it as "23S ribosomal RNA". It matches the Rfam family "Bacterial large subunit ribosomal RNA". Lineage: Bacteria; Pseudomonadati; Pseudomonadota; Gammaproteobacteria; Enterobacterales; Enterobacteriaceae. The record is from RNAcentral.
GGGUUGUGAGGUUAAGCGACUAAGCGUACACGGUGGAUGCCCUGGCAGUCAGAGGCGAUGAAGGACGUGCUAAUCUGCGAUAAGCGUCGGUAAGGUGAUAUGAACCGUUAUAACCGGCGAUUUCCGAAUGGGGAAACCCAGUGUGAUUCGUCACACUAUCAUUAACUGAAUCCAUAGGUUAAUGAGGCGAACCGGGGGAACUGAAACAUCUAAGUACCCCGAGGAAAAGAAAUCAACCGAGAUUCCCCCAGUAGCGGCGAGCGAACGGGGAGCAGCCCAGAGCCUGAAUCAGUGUGUGUGUUAGUGGAAGCGUCUGGAAAGGCGCGCGAUACAGGGUGACAGCCCCGUACACAAAAAUGCACAUACUGUGAGCUCGAUGAGUAGGGCGGGACACGUGGUAUCCUGUCUGAAUAUGGGGGGACCAUCCUCCAAGGCUAAAUACUCCUGACUGACCGAUAGUGAACCAGUACCGUGAGGGAAAGGCGAAAAGAACCCCGGCGAGGGGAGUGAAAAAGAACCUGAAACCGUGUACGUACAAGCAGUGGGAGCACGCUUAGGCGUGUGACUGCGUACCUUUUGUAUAAUGGGUCAGCGACUUAUAUUCUGUAGCAAGGUUAACCGAAUAGGGGAGCCGAAGGGAAACCGAGUCUUAACUGGGCGUUAAGUUGCAGGGUAUAGACCCGAAACCCGGUGAUCUAGCCAUGGGCAGGUUGAAGGUUGGGUAACACUAACUGGAGGACCGAACCGACUAAUGUUGAAAAAUUAGCGGAUGACUUGUGGCUGGGGGUGAAAGGCCAAUCAAACCGGGAGAUAGCUGGUUCUCCCCGAAAGCUAUUUAGGUAGCGCCUCGUGAAUUCAUCUCCGGGGGUAGAGCACUGUUUCGGCAAGGGGGUCAUCCCGACUUACCAACCCGAUGCAAACUGCGAAUACCGGAGAAUGUUAUCACGGGAGACACACGGCGGGUGCUAACGUCCGUCGUGAAGAGGGAAACAACCCAGACCGCCAGCUAAGGUCCCAAAGUCAUGGUUAAGUGGGAAACGAUGUGGGAAGGCCCAGACAGCCAGGAUGUUGGCUUAGAAGCAGCCAUCAUUUAAAGAAAGCGUAAUAGCUCACUGGUCGAGUCGGCCUGCGCGGAAGAUGUAACGGGGCUAAACCAUGCACCGAAGCUGCGGCAGCGACGCUGAUGCGUUGUUGGGUAGGGGAGCGUUCUGUAAGCCUGCGAAGGUGUGCUGUGAGGCAUGCUGGAGGUAUCAGAAGUGCGAAUGCUGACAUAAGUAACGAUAAAGCGGGUGAAAAGCCCGCUCGCCGGAAGACCAAGGGUUCCUGUCCAACGUUAAUCGGGGCAGGGUGAGUCGACCCCUAAGGCGAGGCCGAAAGGCGUAGUCGAUGGGAAACAGGUUAAUAUUCCUGUACUUGGUGUUACUGCGAAGGGGGGACGGAGAAGGCUAUGUUGGCCGGGCGACGGUUGUCCCGGUUUAAGCGUGUAGGCUGGUUUUCCAGGCAAAUCCGGAAAAUCAAGGCUGAGGCGUGAUGACGAGGCACUACGGUGCUGAAGCAACAAAUGCCCUGCUUCCAGGAAAAGCCUCUAAGCAUCAGGUAACAUCAAAUCGUACCCCAAACCGACACAGGUGGUCAGGUAGAGAAUACCAAGGCGCUUGAGAGAACUCGGGUGAAGGAACUAGGCAAAAUGGUGCCGUAACUUCGGGAGAAGGCACGCUGAUAUGUAGGUGAAGUCCCUCGCGGAUGGAGCUGAAAUCAGUCGAAGAUACCAGCUGGCUGCAACUGUUUAUUAAAAACACAGCACUGUGCAAACACGAAAGUGGACGUAUACGGUGUGACGCCUGCCCGGUGCCGGAAGGUUAAUUGAUGGGGUCAGCGCAAGCGAAGCUCUUGAUCGAAGCCCCGGUAAACGGCGGCCGUAACUAUAACGGUCCUAAGGUAGCGAAAUUCCUUGUCGGGUAAGUUCCGACCUGCACGAAUGGCGUAAUGAUGGCCAGGCUGUCUCCACCCGAGACUCAGUGAAAUUGAACUCGCUGUGAAGAUGCAGUGUACCCGCGGCAAGACGGAAAGACCCCGUGAACCUUUACUAUAGCUUGACACUGAACAUUGAGCCUUGAUGUGUAGGAUAGGUGGGAGGCUUUGAAGUGUGGACGCCAGUCUGCAUGGAGCCGACCUUGAAAUACCACCCUUUAAUGUUUGAUGUUCUAACGUUGACCCGUAAUCCGGGUUGCGGACAGUGUCUGGUGGGUAGUUUGACUGGGGCGGUCUCCUCCUAAAGAGUAACGGAGGAGCACGAAGGUUGGCUAAUCCUGGUCGGACAUCAGGAGGUUAGUGCAAUGGCAUAAGCCAGCUUGACUGCGAGCGUGACGGCGCGAGCAGGUGCGAAAGCAGGUCAUAGUGAUCCGGUGGUUCUGAAUGGAAGGGCCAUCGCUCAACGGAUAAAAGGUACUCCGGGGAUAACAGGCUGAUACCGCCCAAGAGUUCAUAUCGACGGCGGUGUUUGGCACCUCGAUGUCGGCUCAUCACAUCCUGGGGCUGAAGUAGGUCCCAAGGGUAUGGCUGUUCGCCAUUUAAAGUGGUACGCGAGCUGGGUUUAGAACGUCGUGAGACAGUUCGGUCCCUAUCUGCCGUGGGCGCUGGAGAACUGAGGGGGGCUGCUCCUAGUACGAGAGGACCGGAGUGGACGCAUCACUGGUGUUCGGGUUGUCAUGCCAAUGGCACUGCCCGGUAGCUAAAUGCGGAAGAGAUAAGUGCUGAAAGCAUCUAAGCACGAAACUUGCCCCGAGAUGAGUUCUCCCUGAGACUUUAAGUCUCCUGAAGGAACGUUGAAGACGACGACGUUGAUAGGCCGGGUGUGUAAGCGCAGCGAUGCGUUGAGCUAACCGGUACUAAUGAACCGUGAGGCUUAACCUUACAACGCCGAAG